AGUGAACGCUGGCGGUAGGCCUAACACAUGCAAGUCGAACGGCAGCACAGUAAGAGCUUGCUCUUACGGGUGGCGAGUGGCGGAUGGGUGAGGAAUACAUCGGAAUCUACUUUUUCGAGGGGGAUAACGUAGGGAAACUUACGCUAAUACCGCAUACGACCUACGGGUGAAAUCAUGGGAUCUUCGGACCUCACGCGAUUGAAUGAGCCGAUGUCGGAUUAGCUAGUUGGCGGGGUAAAGGCCCACCAAGGCGACGAUCCGUAGCUGGUCUGAGAGGGUGAUAAGCCACACUGAAACUGAAACACGGUCCAGACUCCUACGGGAGGCAGCAGUGGGGAAAUUUGGACAAUGGGCGCAAGCCUGAUCCAGCCAGACCGCGUGGGUGAAGAGGGCCUUCGGGUUGUAAAGCCCUUUUGUUGGGAAAGAGAAGCAGCAGGUUAAUACCCCGCUGUUCUGACGGUACCCAAAGAAUAAGCACCGGCUAACUUCGU
Molecule: ribosomal RNA, 491 nt
Filed under: uncultured bacterium
Lineage: Bacteria
Description: partial 16S ribosomal RNA
Rfam family: Bacterial small subunit ribosomal RNA
Source: RNAcentral